GUGAGGAAUUUUCCGCAAUGGGCGAAAGCCUGACGGAGCAAUGCCGCGUGAAGGAUGAAGGCCUAUGGGUUGUAAACUUCUUUUCUUAGAGAAGAAUAUUGACGGUAUCUGAGGAAUAAGCAUCGGCUAACUCUGUGCCAGCAGCCGCGGUAAGACAGAGGAUGCAAGCGUUAUCCGGAAUGAUUGGGCGUAAAGCGUCUGUAGGUGGCUUCAAAAGUCUCCUGUCAAAGAUCAGGGCUUAACCCUGGGGCGGCAGGAGAAACUCUGAGGCUAGAGUUUGGUAGGGGCAGAGGGAAUUGCCGGGGGAGCGGUGAAAUGCGUAGAGAUCGGGAGGAACACCAAAGGCGAAAGCACUCUGCUGGGCCACAACUGACACUGAGAGACGAAAGCGAGGGGAGCAAAAGGGAUUAGAUACCCGGGUAGUCC
RNAcentral lists this ribosomal RNA (426 nucleotides) under uncultured bacterium. Its description in RNAcentral is "partial 16S ribosomal RNA". It matches the Rfam family "Bacterial small subunit ribosomal RNA", at positions 354 to 796 of the family's 1533-position model. The record is from RNAcentral.